Molecule: ribosomal RNA, 433 nt
Filed under: uncultured bacterium
Lineage: Bacteria
Description: partial 16S ribosomal RNA
Rfam family: Bacterial small subunit ribosomal RNA
Source: RNAcentral
AACGAACGCUGGCGGCAUGCCUAACACAUGCAAGUCGAACGAGACCUUCGGGUCUAGUGGCGCACGGGUGCGUAACGCGUGGGAACCUGCCCUUAGGUUCGGAAUCACUCCCCGAAAGGGAUGCUAAUACCGGAUAAUGUCUUCGGACCAAAGAUUUAUCGCCUUUGGAUGGGCCCGCGUUGGAUUAGCUAGUUGGUAGGGUACAAGCCUACCAAGGCGACGAUCCAUAGCUGGUCUGAGAGGAUGAUCAGCCACACUGGGACUGAGACACGGCCCAGACUCCGACGGGAGGGAGCAGUGGGGAAUAUUGGACAAUGGGCGAAAGCCUGAUCCAGCAAUGCCGGGUGAGAGAGGAAGGCCGUAGGGUUGUAAAGCUCUUUUACCCGGGAUGAGAAUGACAGUAACGGGAGAAUAAGCUCCGGCUAACUCCGUG